RNAcentral lists this transfer RNA (90 nucleotides) under Oryctolagus cuniculus (rabbit). It matches the Rfam family "tRNA". Rfam says of the family: Transfer RNA (tRNA) molecules are approximately 80 nucleotides in length. Their secondary structure includes four short double-helical elements and three loops (D, anti-codon, and T loops). Further hydrogen bonds mediate the characteristic L-shaped molecular structure. tRNAs have two regions of fundamental functional importance: the anti-codon, which is responsible for specific mRNA codon recognition, and the 3' end, to which the tRNAs corresponding amino acid is attached (by aminoacyl-tRNA synthetases). tRNAs cope with the degeneracy of the genetic code in two manners: having more than one tRNA (with a specific anti-codon) for a particular amino acid; and 'wobble' base-pairing, i.e. permitting non-standard base-pairing at the 3rd anti-codon position. Lineage: Eukaryota; Metazoa; Chordata; Mammalia; Lagomorpha; Leporidae. The record is from Rfam by way of RNAcentral.
GGCUCUGUGGCGCAACGGAUAGCGCGUUGGACUUCUAACGCCUGGUCGACAGGAAUUCAAAGGUUGCGGGUUCGAAUCCCGCCAGAGCCA